RNAcentral lists this ribosomal RNA (497 nucleotides) under uncultured bacterium. Its description in RNAcentral is "partial 16S ribosomal RNA". It matches the Rfam family "Bacterial small subunit ribosomal RNA", at positions 28 to 507 of the family's 1533-position model. The record is from RNAcentral.
GAUGAACGCUGGCGGCGUGCCUAAUACAUGCAAGUCGAGCGAACAGACGAGGAGCUUGCUCCUCUGACGUUAGCGGCGGACGGGUGAGUAACACGUGGAUAACCUACCUAUAAGACUGGGAUAACUUCGGGACACCGGAGCUAAUACCGGAUAAUAUAUUGAACCGCAUGGUUCAAUAGUGAAAGACGGUUUUGCUGUCACUUAUAGAUGGAUCCGCGCCGCAUUAGCUAGUUGGUAAGGUAACGGCUUACCAAGGCAACGAUGCGUAGCCGACCUGAGAGGGUGAUAGGCCACACUGGAACUGAGACACGGUCCAGACUCCUACGGGAGGCAGCAGUAGGGAAUCUUCCGCAAUGGGCGAAAGCCUGACGGAGCAACGCCGCGUGGGUUAUGAAGGUCUUCGGAUCGUAAAACUCUGUUAUUAGGGAAGAACAACUGUGUAAGUAACUAUGCACGUCUUGACGGUACCUAAUCAGAAAGCCACGGCUAACUACGUG